This 253-nucleotide ribosomal RNA is filed under the name uncultured bacterium. RNAcentral's name for it is "partial 16S ribosomal RNA". It matches the Rfam family "Bacterial small subunit ribosomal RNA", at positions 524 to 776 of the family's 1533-position model. The record is from RNAcentral.
UACGUAGGGUGCAAGCGUUGUCCGGAAUUAUUGGGCGUAAAGAGCUCGUAGGCGGUUUGUCGCGUCUGCUGUGAAAACUCGGGGCUUAACUCCGGGCCUGCAGUGGGUACGGGCAGACUAGAGUGCGGUAGGGGAGACUGGAAUUCCUGGUGUAGCGGUGAAAUGCGUAGAUAUUGGGAGGAACACCAGUGGCGAAGGCGGCUCACUGGACCGGAACUGACGCUGAGGCGCGAAAGCGUGGGGAGCAAACGGG